UGCAAGGUUAAUUCACUGAAGAACUGAGAAGGGGAUCCUUUUUGAGAGAAGCCUGAAGACAUGCCACUUUUUCUGCCUAGAGCCACGCAGGUCCCUUCCGAACCUCCAAGGUGCCACAGCCGCUCUGCAGUUGCUCAGGUGGAGACGAUCCGGCCACGUGGUUGGGGCCCUGAGGGGAGCACUUCCGGUCCGCGCUUGGGCAGCUUCCGGUGUGUGUCCGCCUGACUUCUCCGUGCUUCCCUGCGCGAGGCCGGUCCGAUUCCCCCUUCCCCUGUGCCCGCAGGGAAUGCAAGCCGCGGUCGUGACCCACCGGAACAAGGGCGCGGCCCGCCUGCGCUCGGCCCCGGCGCUCUCCCGCGCCCGGCCGGCCGCCAUGCGCCUACAGUAGCCCCGCGAGAGCCUUCCCUAGCGCGGCUCCGCCGGGUGUGCCGCGGGCCUGCGCGGUUCCCAGGCGUCAGGCUGUGACAAGCACAGCCAGGCAAGCGCACGGGGUCAGCAGCCGCUCAGUCCAUCUUGAAACACCGAGAGGCUGACGUGUGUGGGAGUCCGCGGCUCACCUGAAAGCUGCCCUGGUGCCUUGAAACAGCUGCUGCUUAGCCCCAUGCUAAGGGACGCCUGGUGGCUCAGCGGUUGAGCGCCUGCCUUUGGCUCAGGGUGUGAUCCUGGAGUCCUGGGUUCAAGUCCUACAUCAGGCUCCUUGUAUGGACCCUGCUUGUGUUUCUGCCUCUCUCUCUCUCUGUCUCUCAUGGAUAAACAAAAAUCUUAAAAAGAACCUCCAAGUGACCUUCCGUUCAUCCGAACCAUGUUUGACUAUGGGGUCUUAGAGGAUGUGAGGGUGUAUAGCAGGAGAGAUUUGAUUUCUAAGUUCACUCUCCUAGCAUGGAGCUAAAGAGCAAGUUCCUUUUCACGGUCUUGUUACUUUUCUUACUACUUUUUUUUUUUUU
This 944-nucleotide long non-coding RNA is filed under the name Canis lupus familiaris (dog). RNAcentral describes it as "lncRNA (ENSCAFG00000053027.1, ENSCAFG00805027656.1)". The record is from RNAcentral. Lineage: Eukaryota; Metazoa; Chordata; Mammalia; Carnivora; Canidae.